This 301-nucleotide ribosomal RNA is filed under the name uncultured bacterium. RNAcentral describes it as "partial 16S ribosomal RNA". It matches the Rfam family "Bacterial small subunit ribosomal RNA", at positions 509 to 807 of the family's 1533-position model. The record is from RNAcentral.
CAGCCGCCACGGGAAUACGUAGGGACCAAGCGUUGUCCGGAAUCAUUGGGCGUAAAGCGCGCGUAGGUGGCCAUUUAAGUCCGCUGUGAAAGUCAAAGGCUCAACCUUUGAAAGCCGGUGGAUACUGGAUGGCUAGAGUACGGAAGAGGCGAGUGGAAUUCCUGGUGUAGCGGUGGAAUGCGCAGAUAUCAGGAGGAACACCAAUAGCGAAGGCAGCUCGCUGGGACGUUACUGACACUGAGGCGCGAAAGCGUGGGGAGCAAACCGGAUUAGAUACCCCCGUAGUCCCUGUCUCUUAUAC